UUAUCCUACGGGGGGCAGCAGUGGGGAAUAUUGGGCAAUGGGCGCAAGCCUGACCCAGCAACGCCGCGUGAAGGAAGAAGGCUUUCGGGUUGUAAACUUCUUUUCUCAGGGACGAAGAAAGUGACGGUACCUGAGGAAUAAGCCACGGCUAACUACGUGCCAGCAGCCGCGGUAAUACGUAGGGAGCGAGCGUUGUCCGGAAUUACUGGGUGUAAAGGGAGCGUAGGCGGGGAUGCAAGUUGGGUGUUAAAUCUACCGGCUCAACUGGUAGUCGCACUCAAAACUGCAGCUCUUGAGUGAAGUAG
RNAcentral lists this ribosomal RNA (305 nucleotides) under uncultured bacterium. RNAcentral's name for it is "bacterial SSU rRNA". It matches the Rfam family "Bacterial small subunit ribosomal RNA", at positions 334 to 654 of the family's 1533-position model. The record is from RNAcentral.